Molecule: ribosomal RNA, 1000 nt
Filed under: Acinetobacter baumannii
Lineage: Bacteria; Pseudomonadati; Pseudomonadota; Gammaproteobacteria; Moraxellales; Moraxellaceae
Description: bacterial SSU rRNA
Rfam family: Bacterial small subunit ribosomal RNA
Source: RNAcentral
GGCUGUCCGCAGCUACACAUGCAGUCGAGCGGGGGAAGGUAGCUUGCUACUGGACCUAGCGGCGGACGGGUGAGUAAUGCUUAGGAAUCUGCCUAUUAGUGGGGGACAACAUCUCGAAAGGGAUGCUAAUACCGCAUACGUCCUACGGGAGAAAGCAGGGGAUCUUCGGACCUUGCGCUAAUAGAUGAGCCUAAGUCGGAUUAGCUAGUUGGUGGGGUAAAGGCCUACCAAGGCGACGAUCUGUAGCGGGUCUGAGAGGAUGAUCCGCCACACUGGGACUGAGACACGGCCCAGACUCCUACGGGAGGCAGCAGUGGGGAAUAUUGGACAAUGGGGGGAACCCUGAUCCAGCCAUGCCGCGUGUGUGAAGAAGGCCUUAUGGUUGUAAAGCACUUUAAGCGAGGAGGAGGGUACUUUAGUUAAUACCUAGAGAUAGUGGACGUUACUCGCAAAAUAAGCACCGGCUAACUCUGUGCCAGCAGCCGCGGUAAUACAAAGGGUGCGAGCGUUAAUCGGAUUUACUGGGCGUAAAGCGUGCGUAGGCGGCUUAUUAAGUCGGAUGUGAAAUCCCCGAGCUUAACUUGGGAAUUGCAUUCGAUACUGGUGAGCUAGAGUAUGGGAGAGGAUGGGAGAAUUCCUGGUGUAGCGGAGAAAUGCGUAAAGAUCUGGAGGAAUACCGAUGGCGAAGGCAGCCAUCUGGCCUAAUACUGACGCUGAGGUACGAAAGCAUGGGGAGCAAACAGGAUUAGAUACCCUGGUAGUCCAUGCCGUAAACGAUGUCUACUAGCCGUUGAGGGCCUUUGAGGCUUUAGUGGCGCAGCUAACGCGAUAAGUAGACCGCCUGGGAGAGUACGGUCGCAAGACUAAAACUCAUAUGAAUUGACGGGGGCCCCGCACAAGCGGUGGAGCAUGUGGUUUAAUUCGAUGCACGCGAAAACCUUACCUGGCCUUGACAUACUAGAAACUUUCCAGAGAUGUAUUGGUGCCUUCGAGAAUCUAG